CACUUUGUUACUGCAGCUGUAUUUACUCUUACACCUUUAGGGAUUUAAUUGCAUCCAUCCCCAGUCUUUCAGCUGAGUGAAACACGGCAUUUCUCAGUGCGUUCCUCUGCCUCCACUGAAAAGGUCUCUCCAGCUCUGCCAGUGGGGAGAGCAAUUUGUCACUGUUUGGCCCAGAUGGCUGAUACCAGUUCCUGAGAGUGGACAAUCCUUUGCUAUAAGGGAAGCUUGAAGAACCCA
This 237-nucleotide long non-coding RNA is filed under the name Numida meleagris (helmeted guineafowl). RNAcentral describes it as "lncRNA (ENSNMEG00000017192.1)". The record is from RNAcentral. Lineage: Eukaryota; Metazoa; Chordata; Aves; Galliformes; Numididae.